This is a non-coding RNA of Mycena crocata, 76 nucleotides long. The record is from the annotation of a GenBank genome assembly. Lineage: Eukaryota; Fungi; Basidiomycota; Agaricomycetes; Agaricales; Mycenaceae.
GUACUCUUGGUGUAGUGGUAACACGCCCCUUAUUACACUGUUGAGGGGAUCCUGGGUUCGAUUCCCGGAGGGUGCC